Molecule: microRNA, 22 nt
Filed under: Glossina pallidipes
Lineage: Eukaryota; Metazoa; Arthropoda; Insecta; Diptera; Glossinidae
Also listed under: 1 other name
Description: Gpa-Mir-282_3p* (star (passenger))
Source: RNAcentral
ACAUAGCCUAAAAGAGGUUAGG